Molecule: ribosomal RNA, 465 nt
Filed under: uncultured bacterium
Lineage: Bacteria
Description: partial 16S ribosomal RNA
Rfam family: Bacterial small subunit ribosomal RNA
Source: RNAcentral
GACGAACGCUGGCGGCGUGCUUAACACAUGCAAGUCGAACGGAAAGGCCCUGCUUGCAGGGUACUCGAGUGGCGAACGGGUGAGUAACACGUGGGUGAUCUGCCCUGCACUUCGGGAUAAGCCUGGGAAACUGGGUCUAAUACCGGAUAGGAGCCAUUUUUAGUGUGAUGGUUGGAAAGUUUUUUCGGUGUAGGAUGAGCUCGCGGCCUAUCAGCUUGUUGGUGGGGUAAUGGCCUACCAAGGCGGCGACGGGUAGCCGGCCUGAGAGGGUGGACGGCCACAUUGGGACUGAGAUACGGCCCAGACUCCUACGGGAGGCAGCAGGGGGGAAUAUUGCACAAUGGGCGCAAGCCUGAUGCAGCGACGCCGCGUGGGGGAUGACGGCCUUCGGGUUGUAAACUCCGUUCGCUAGGGACGAAGCUUUUUGUGACGGUACCUAGAUAAGAAGCACCGGCUAACUACGUG